Molecule: ribosomal RNA, 309 nt
Filed under: Triticum aestivum (bread wheat)
Lineage: Eukaryota; Viridiplantae; Streptophyta; Magnoliopsida; Poales; Poaceae
Description: partial small subunit ribosomal RNA
Source: RNAcentral
AUGUUCAUCUUUGUUCCUUCUCUGAGGCCAUCGUCGCCGCCUACCUCUCUCCAUCUUUGUUCCCAGUGGCUACAUUCGAGGGCAUGGUGUUCUGUGCUGGAGUUGGCCCCAGGUGCUUCAGAGGAUAUACAGGUUCUUUUGCCCGAGGAGAGGAACCCCAACCCGUCAGGUUUGAGGCCACUACCCCAUAGUGCAAAAUACUACCGAGUGUGUAUCACCGAUCCUGGUCAGUUUCUUCAUGAUACUUCAGUUGACUCGGAUGGACAUGAUCAAUACCACGCCCGGGGCCCAUAUGCAAUGGCCGUCUAA